UGCCAGACUCCUACGGGAGGCAGCAGUGGGGAAUAUUGCACAAUGGGGGAAACCCUGAUGCAGCGACGCCGCGUGAGUGAAGAAGUAUCUCGGUACGUAAAGCUCUAUCAGCAGGGAAGAAAAUGACGGUACCUGAUUAAGAAGCCCCGGCUAACUACGUGCCAGCAGCCGCGGUAAUACGUAGGGGGCAAGCGUUAUCCGGAUUUACUGGGUGUAAAGGGAGCGUAGACGGCAGCGCAAGUCUGGAGUGAAAUGCCGGGGCCCAACCCCGGAACUGCUUUGGAAACUGUGCAGCUCGAGUGCAGGAGGGGCAGGCGGAAUUCCUGGUGUAGCGGUGAAAUGCGUAGAUAUCAGGAGGAACACCGGUGGCGAAGGCGGCCUGCUGGACUGCGACUGACGUUGAGGCCCGAAAGCGUGGGGAGCAAACAGGAUUAGAUCCCCCCGUA
This 446-nucleotide ribosomal RNA is filed under the name uncultured bacterium. RNAcentral describes it as "bacterial SSU rRNA". It matches the Rfam family "Bacterial small subunit ribosomal RNA", at positions 329 to 792 of the family's 1533-position model. The record is from RNAcentral.